Molecule: ribosomal RNA, 892 nt
Filed under: uncultured bacterium
Lineage: Bacteria
Description: bacterial SSU rRNA
Rfam family: Bacterial small subunit ribosomal RNA
Source: RNAcentral
AGAGUUUGAUCAUGGCUCAGGAUGAACGCUGGCGGCGUGCUAAUACAUGCAAGUCGAGCGAACCACUUCGGUGGUGAGCGGCGAACGGGUGAGUAACACGUAGGUGAUCUGCCCAUCAGACGGGGACAACGAUUGGAAACGAUCGCUAAUACCGGAUAGGACGAAAGUUUAAAGGUGCUUUUGGCACCGCUGAUGGAUGAGCCUGCGGCGCAUUAGCUAGUUGGUAGGGUAAAGGCCUACCAAGGCGACGAUGCGUAGCCGACCUGAGAGGGUGAACGGCCACACUGGGACUGAGACACGGCCCAGACUCCUACGGGAGGCAGCAGUAGGGAAUCUUCGGCAAUGGGCGAAAGCCUGACCGAGCAACGCCGCGUGAAUGAUGAAGGCCUUCGGGUUGUAAAAUUCUGUUAUAAGGGGAGAACGACUUUAGUAGGAAAUGGCUAGAGUGUGACGGUACCUUAUGAGAAAGCCACGGCUAACUACGUGCCAGCAGCCGCGGUAAUACGUAGGUGGCGAGCGUUAUCCGGAAUUAUUGGGCGUAAAGAGCGCGCAGGUGGUUGAUUAAGUCUGAUGUGAAAGCCCACGGCUUAACCGUGGAGGGUCAUUGGAAACUGGUCGACUUGAGUGCAGAAGAGGGAAGUGGAAUUCCAUGUGUAGCGGUGAAAUGCGUAGAGAUAUGGAGGAACACCAGUGGCGAAGGCGGCUUCCUGGUCUGUAACUGACACUGAGGCGCGAAAGCGUGGGGAGCAAACAGGAUUAGAUACCCUGGUAGUCCACGCCGUAAACGAUGAGUGCUAAGUGUUGGGGGUCGAACCUCAGUGCUGAAGUUAACGCAUUAAGCACUCCGCCUGGGGAGUACGGUCGCAAGACUGAAACUCAAAGGAAUUGACGG